RNAcentral lists this ribosomal RNA (497 nucleotides) under uncultured bacterium. RNAcentral describes it as "partial 16S ribosomal RNA". It matches the Rfam family "Bacterial small subunit ribosomal RNA", at positions 28 to 507 of the family's 1533-position model. The record is from RNAcentral.
GAUGAACGCUGGCGGCGUGCCUAAUACAUGCAAGUCGAGCGAACAGACAAUGAGCUUGCUCCUCUGACGUUAGCGGCUGACGGGUGGGUAACACGUGGAUCACCUACUUAUAUUUCUUGGAUAAUUUCGUAAAACCGGUUCUAAUACCGCCUAAUAUAUUGAACCGCAUGGUUCAAUAGUUAAUGACGGCUUUGCUGUCACUUUUAGCUGGUUCCGCGCCACAUUAGUUACUUGGUAAGGGAACGGCCUAACAAGGCGACGAUGCGUAGCCGACCGGGGAGGGGGAACGGCCAAACGGGAAAUGAGACAAGGGCCAGAAUCCUAAGGGAGGCAGCAGUAGGGAAUCUUCGGAAAUGGGCGGAAGCCUGACGGAGGAACGACGCGGGAGGGAUGAAAGGCUUCGGAGCGGAAAACUCUGUUAGUAGGGAAAAACAAAUGGGAAAGUAACUAUGCACGGCUUGAAGGGACCUAAUCAGAAAGCCACGGCUAACUACGUG